Molecule: ribosomal RNA, 484 nt
Filed under: uncultured bacterium
Lineage: Bacteria
Description: partial 16S ribosomal RNA
Rfam family: Bacterial small subunit ribosomal RNA
Source: RNAcentral
GACGAACGCUGGCGGCGUGCUUAACACAUGCAAGUCGAACGAUGAACCCGGAGCUUGCUCCGGUGGAUUAGUGGCGAACGGGUGAGUAACACGUGAGUAACCUGCCCUUGACUCUGGGAUAACUGCGGGAAACUGUAGCUAGUACCGGAUACGACCCUCGGCGGCAUCGCCAGGGGGUGGAAAGAAUUUCGGUCAAGGAUGGACUCGCGGCCUAUCAGCUAGUUGGUGAAGUAACGGCUCACCAAGGCGACGAACGGUAGCCGGCCUGAGAGGGUGACCGGCCACACUGGGACUGAGAGACGGCCCAGACUCCUACGGGAGGUAGCAGUGGGGAAUAUUGCACAAUGGGCGCAAGCCUGAUGCAGCAACGCCGAGUGAGGGAUGACGGCCUUCGGGUUGUAGACCUCUUUUAGUAGGGAAGAAGCGAAAGUGACGGUACCUGCAGAAAAAGCACCGGCUAACUACGUGCCAGCCGCCGCCGUAA